RNAcentral lists this ribosomal RNA (398 nucleotides) under uncultured bacterium. Its description in RNAcentral is "partial 16S ribosomal RNA". It matches the Rfam family "Bacterial small subunit ribosomal RNA", at positions 523 to 918 of the family's 1533-position model. The record is from RNAcentral.
AUACGUAGGGUGCGAGCGUUGUCCGGAAUUACUGGGCGUAAAGAGCUCGUAGGUGGUUUGUCGCGUCGUCUGUGAAAUUCCGGGGCUUAACUCCGGGCGUGCAGGCGAUACGGGCAUAACUUGAGUACUGUAGGGGAGACUGGAAUUCCUGGUGUAGCGGUGAAAUGCGCAGAUAUCAGGAGGAACACCGGUGGCGAAGGCGGGUCUCUGGGCAGUAACUGACACUGAGGCGCGAAAGCAUGGGUAGCGAACAGGAUUAGAUACCCUGGUAGUCCAUGCCGUAAACGGUGGGCGCUAGGUGUAGGGGUCUUCCACGACUUCUGUGCCGUAGCUAACGCAUUAAGCGCCCCGCCUGGGGAGUACGGCCGCAAGGCUAAAACUCAAAUGAAUUGACGGGG